RNAcentral lists this ribosomal RNA (433 nucleotides) under uncultured bacterium. Its description in RNAcentral is "partial 16S ribosomal RNA". It matches the Rfam family "Bacterial small subunit ribosomal RNA", at positions 29 to 507 of the family's 1533-position model. The record is from RNAcentral.
AACGAACGCUGGCGGCAUGCCUAACACAUGCAAGUCGAACGAGACCUUCGGGUCUAGUGGCGCACGGGUGCGUCACGCGUGGGAACCUGCCCUUAGGUUCGGAAUAACUCCCCGAAAGGGGUGCUAAUACCGGAUAAUGUCUUCGGACCAAAGAUUUAUCGCCUUUGGAUGGGCCCGCGUUGGAUUAGCUAGUUGGUAGGGUAAAAGCCUACCACGGCGACGAUCCAUAGCUGGUCUGAGAGGAUGAUCAGCCACACUGGGACUGAGACACGGCCCAGACUCCUACGGGAGGCAGCAGUGGGGAAUAUUGGACAAUGGGCGAAGGCCUGAUCCAGCAAUGCCGCGUGAGUGAUGAAGGCCUUAGGGUUGUAAAGCUCUUUUACCCGGGAUGAUAAUGACAGUACCGGGAGAAUAAGCUCCGGCUAACUCCGUG